RNAcentral lists this ribosomal RNA (440 nucleotides) under uncultured bacterium. Its description in RNAcentral is "partial 16S ribosomal RNA". It matches the Rfam family "Bacterial small subunit ribosomal RNA", at positions 338 to 795 of the family's 1533-position model. The record is from RNAcentral.
CCUACGGGAGGCAGCAGUAGGGGAUAUUGCUCAAUGGGGGAAACCCUGAUGCAGCAACGCCGCGUGGGGGAUGGAGGGUUUCGGCGUGUAAAGUCCUUUUGGUAGGGAAGAAGAUGACGGUACCUGACCAAUAAGCCCCGGCUAACUACGUGCCAGCAGCCGCGGUAAUACGGAGGGGGCAAGCGUUAACCGGAUUCACUGGGUGUAAAGGGGGCGCAGACGGGAAUGCAAGUCAGGAGUGAAAGCCCGGGGCCCAACCCAGGGACUGCAUUUGAAACUGCAUGGCUGGAGUACGGGAGGGGCAGGCGGAAUUCUUAGUGUAGCGGUGAAAUGCGUAGAGAUUAGGAGGAACACCGGUGGCGAAGGCGGCCUGCUGGACUGUGACUGACGUUGAGGCCCGAAGGCGUGGGGAGCAAACAGGAUUAGAUACCCUGGUAGUC